GUGCUCAUUAUGGCAGCACAUAUGCUAAAUUUGAAGGAUAUAGAGAAGAUUAGCAUGGCCCCUGUGCAAGGAUGGCACUCAAAUUUGUUAAGUGUUCCAUAUUUUU
Small nuclear RNA from Choloepus didactylus (southern two-toed sloth), 106 nucleotides. The record is from RefSeq and is a predicted model, not a curated record. NCBI's taxonomy places the organism in Eukaryota, Metazoa, Chordata, Mammalia, Pilosa, Megalonychidae.